Molecule: long non-coding RNA, 366 nt
Organism: Pseudophryne corroboree (corroboree frog)
Lineage: Eukaryota; Metazoa; Chordata; Amphibia; Anura; Myobatrachidae
Exons: 3
Source: RefSeq, a predicted model, not a curated record
ACGACACCAUAGUGAAGAAGACAUCUGGUGAGCAUGAGACCCCCAGCAACCAUCCUCGUGUUGCAGGUGGACUAAGCAGGACCUAGAGCCCCAUCACGGUGCCUCCACCUCACUCACUGACACAUAAGAGACACAAUGACCAGAAGAUACUGGAACUCACCAACAAGAUCAUUCAGCUGCUGACUGGAGAGGAGGAGGAGUAUGUAGAGGAACACAGGGGUCUGUACAAGGACGUGAUGAUGGAGAAUCACCGGCCCCUCACAUCACUGGAUGGGCCCAGUAACAGAGAUACCCCAGAGAGAUGUCCCCGUCCUCUAUAUUCCCAGGACUGUACAGAGGAGAAUCACAGGAUCCCACAGGAGGAUC